AAAAGAAACUAACAAGGAUUCCCCUAGUAACUGCGAGUGAAGCGGGAAGAGCUCAAAUUUAAAAUCUGGCGUGCCUCUGGUCGUCCGAGUUGUAGUCUGGAGAAGCGUUUUCCGUGUUGGACCGUGUAUAAGUCUCUUGGAACAGGGCGUCAUAGAGGGUGAGAAUCCCGUCUUUGACACGGACUACCAAUGCUUUGUGAUGCGCUCUCAAAGAGUCGAGUUGUUUGGGAAUGCAGCUCAAAAUGGGUGGUAAAUUCCAUCUAAAGCUAAAUAUAGGCGAGAGACCGAUAGCGAACAAGUACCGUGAGGGAAAGAUGAAAAGCACUUUGGAAAGAGAGUUAAACAGUACAUGAAAUUGCUGAAAGGGAAACGCUUGAAGUCAGUCACGUCUGCCAGGACUCAGCCUUGCUCCUGCUUGGUGUACUUUCUGGUUUGAUGGGCCAACAUCAAUUUCAAUCGUCGGAGAAAGGCAUUGGGAACGUGGCACCUUCGGGUGUGUUAUAGCCCUUUGUUGUAUACGACGGUUGGGAUUGAGGACUGCAGCACGCCUUCAUGGCCGGGGUUCGCCCACGUACGUGCUUAGGAUGUUGGCAUAAUGGCUUUAAGCGA
RNAcentral lists this ribosomal RNA (609 nucleotides) under uncultured Thelephoraceae. RNAcentral describes it as "eukaryotic LSU rRNA". It matches the Rfam family "Eukaryotic large subunit ribosomal RNA", at positions 57 to 647 of the family's 3401-position model. The record is from RNAcentral. Lineage: Eukaryota; Fungi; Basidiomycota; Agaricomycetes; Thelephorales; Thelephoraceae.